Molecule: ribosomal RNA, 370 nt
Filed under: uncultured bacterium
Lineage: Bacteria
Description: partial 16S ribosomal RNA
Rfam family: Bacterial small subunit ribosomal RNA
Source: RNAcentral
CCUACGGGAGGCAGCAGUGGGGAAUAUUGCACAAUGGGGGAAACCCUGAUGCAGCGACGCCGCGUGAGUGAAGAAGUAUCUCGGUACGUAAAGCUCUAUCAGCAGGGAAGAAAAUGACGGUACCUGACUAAGAAGCCCCGGCUAACUACGUGCCAGCAGCCGCGGUAAUACGUAGGGGGCAAGCGUUAUCCGGAUUUACUGGGUGUAAAGGGUGCGUAGGCGGACUGUUAAGUCAGCGGUAAAAGCCCGGGGCUCAACCCCGGCGAGCCGUUGAAACUGGCUGUCUUGAGAUGUCGAGAGGUAUGCGGAAGGCGCAGGGGAGGGGAGAAAUGCUAAGAUAUGGCGAAGAACGCCGAUUGGGAAGGAAGCA